RNAcentral lists this ribosomal RNA (493 nucleotides) under uncultured bacterium. Its description in RNAcentral is "partial 16S ribosomal RNA". It matches the Rfam family "Bacterial small subunit ribosomal RNA", at positions 27 to 507 of the family's 1533-position model. The record is from RNAcentral.
GAGUGAACGCUGGCGGUAGGCCUAACACAUGCAAGUCGAACGGCAGCGCAGUAAGAGCUUGCUCUUACGGGUGGCGAGUGGCGGACGGGUGAGGAAUACAUCGGAAUCUACUUUUUCGUGGGGGAUAACGUAGGGAAACUUACGCUAAUACCGCAUACGACCUACGGGUGAAAGCAGGGGAUCUUCGGACCUUGCGCGAUUGAAUGAGCCGAUGUCGGAUUAGCUAGUUGGCGGGGUAAAGGCCCACCAAGGCGACGAUCCGUAGCUGGUCUGAGAGGAUGAUCAGCCACACUGGAACUGAGACACGGUCCAGACUCCUACGGGAGGCAGCAGUGGGGAAUAUUGGACAAUGGGCGCAAGCCUGAUCCAGCCAUACCGCGUGGGUGAAGAAGGCCUUCGGGUUGUAAAGCCCUUUUGUUGGGAAAGAAAAGCAGCAGGUUAAUACCCCGCUGUUCUGACGGUACCCAAAGAAUAAGCACCGGCUAACUUCGUG